Molecule: ribosomal RNA, 255 nt
Filed under: uncultured bacterium
Lineage: Bacteria
Description: partial 16S ribosomal RNA
Rfam family: Bacterial small subunit ribosomal RNA
Source: RNAcentral
AUCCUGGUCAGGAUGAACGCUAGCGACAGGCUUAACACAUGCAAGUCGAGGGGCAGCGAGGGAGUGGCAACACUUCCGUCGGCGACCGGCGCACGGGUGAGUAACGCGUAUGCAACCUGCCCUUCACAGGGGGAUAACCGGGAGAAAUUCCGACUAAUACCGCAUACGUCCUCCGGGGGCAUCCCCGGGGGAUGAAAGAAUUAUCGGUGAAGGAUGGGCAUGCGUGAUAUUAGGUAGUUGGCGGGGCAACGGCCC